RNAcentral lists this ribosomal RNA (260 nucleotides) under uncultured bacterium. RNAcentral describes it as "partial 16S ribosomal RNA". It matches the Rfam family "Bacterial small subunit ribosomal RNA", at positions 793 to 1055 of the family's 1533-position model. The record is from RNAcentral.
GUCCACGCCCUAAACGAUGUCUACUUGCUGUUGGGGGUGAAACCUUAGUAGCGAAGCUAACGCGAGAAGUAGACCGCCUGGGGAGUACGGUCGCAAGAUUAAAACUCAAAGGAAUUGACGGGGACCCGCACAAGCGGUGGAUGAUGUGGAUUAAUUCGAUGCAACGCGAAGAACCUUACCUGCUCUUGACAUGCCAAGAAUCUUGUAGAGAUAUGAGAGUGCCUUCGGGAACUUGGGCACAGGUGCUGCAUGGCUGUCGU